CAAAGAUUAAGCCAUGCAUGUCUAAGUAUAAGCAAUUAUACAGCGAAACUGCGAAUGGCUCAUUAAAUCAGUUAUCGUUUAUUUGAUAGUACCUUACUACUUGGAUAACCGUGGUAAUUCUAGAGCUAAUACAUGCUAAAAACCCCGACUCUCGGAGGGGUGUAUUUAUUAGAUUAAAAGCCAAUGCCCUCCGGGGCUCACUGGUGAUUCAUGAUAACUUGUCGAAUCGCAUGGCCUUGCGCCGGCGAUGGUUCAUUCAAAUUUCUGCCCUAUCAACUUUCGACGGCUGGGUCUUGGCCAGCCAUGGUGACAACGGGUAACGGAGGGUUAGGGCUCGACCCCGGAGAACGAGCCUGAGAAACGGCUAUUACAUCCAAGGAAGGCAGCAGGCGCGCAAAUUACCCAAUACCGACUCGGUGAGGUAGUGACGAUAAAUACUGAUACAGGGCUCUUUUGGGUCUUGUAAUUGGAAUGAGUACAAUUUAAAUCCCUAACGAGGAACAAUUNGAGGGCAAGUCUGGUGCCAGCAGCCGCGGUAAUUCCANCNCNNAUAGCGUAUAUUAAAGUUGUUGCAGUUAAAAAGCUCGUAGUUGAACCUUGGGCCUGGCUGGCCGGUCCGCCUCACCGCGUGCACUGGUCCGGCCGGGCCUUUCCCUCUGGGGAACCGCAUGCCAUUCACUUGGUGUGCCGGGGAACCAGGACUUUUACUUUGAAAAAAUUAGAGUGUUCAAAGCAGGCCUAUGCUCGAAUACAUUAGCAUGGAAUAAUAGAAUAGGACGUGUGGUUCUAUUUUGUUGGUUUCUAGGACCGCCGUAAUGAUUAAUAGGGACAGUCGGGGGCAUCAGUAUUCAAUUGUCAGAGGUGAAAUUCUUGGAUUUAUUGAAGACUAACUACUGCGAAAGCAUUUGCCAAGGAUGUUUUCAUUAAUCAGGAACGAAAGUUAGGGGAUCGAAGACGAUUAUCUGGUCGUCCACAGCGCUACGGCGUGGUGAGUCUGGUCCGCCACGGAGCAGUGCUAGUCCGCCUCGGGGCGGGCGACAUCGUCAAAUUGCGGGGACCUCCUAAAGGCCGUUGCUACACCUGCAGUCGGGAAACCUUCUGUAGUCGUUAAAACGCGCGGCAUGACGGGGCGGCAAGCCUCUGAAAUGGACAAUCCGCAGCCAAGCCCUAAAGCCGCUCCGGCGGCCAGGGGUGCAGUUCACANACUANACGGCGAUGGGGGCUUUUGAGACNNAAAGCUUNNAAGAUAUAGUCGAGCCAGCGCCGAAAGGCCCCUGGGAAGUUCAAAGCAGAUACCGUCGUAGUCUUAACCAUAAACUAUGCCGACUAGGGAUCGGACGAUGUUAUUUUUUGACUCGUUCGGCACCUUACACGAAAGUACAAGUUUCUGGGUUCUGGGGGGAGUAUGGUCGCAAGGCUGAAACUUAAAGAAAUUGACGGAAGGGCACCACCAGGGGUAAACCGCAGUUAACUCUGCCCCUGACAGCGGCUCCGCGAGGAGUAGUGGCGCGGCCCUCUUAUAAAAAUCCGCUAGUCUCUUUUAUCCAAAAGGGGCGAUACCCUCAAAGUGCGGGAAACCCUCCGAGGUGCCCACUCCCAAGCGGCCCCCGAAAGGGAGGCAGUGGCGGCGCGUAACUGCGGCCGGUACGGGAAGAACGUGGGCGCUAUGAGGCGACUCGCAGCCAAGCUCCCUCCGGGCGGACAGCCCCGGGAGAAGGUUCAGAGACUCGACGGGGNUGGGUUCCCGGGGACGGGAGCUUAAGAUAGAGUCCAUCCCCGCCGCGAGAGCGGCGGGAAGACCUCGAACAGAAGUGCUCGAGGCCAGGCCAGGGAGCCUGCGGCUUAAUUUGACUCAACACGGGGAAACUCACCAGGUCCAGACACAAUGAGGAUUGACAGAUUGAGAGCUCUUUCUUGAUUUUGUGGGUGGUGGUGCAUGGCCGUUCUUAGUUGGUGGAGUGAUUUGUCUGCUUAAUUGCGAUAACGAACGAGACCUUAACCUGCUAAAUAGCCCGUGUUGCUUUGGCAGCACGCUGGCUUCUUAGAGGGACUAUCGGCUCAAGCCGAUGGAAGUUUGAGGCAAUAACAGGUCUGUGAUGCCCUUAGAUGUUCUGGGCCGCACGCGCGUUACACUGACGGAGCCAGCGAGUACUUCCUUGGCCGAAAGGCCCGGGUAAUCUUGUUAAACUCCGUCGUGCUGGGGAUAGAGCAUUGCAAUUAUUGCUCUUCAACGAGGAAUCCCUAGUAAGCGUAAGUCAUCAACUUGCGCUGAUUACGUCCCUGCCCUUUGUACACACCGCCCGUCGCUACUACCGAUUGAAUGGCUCAGUGAGGCUUUCGGACUGGCCUAGAGAGGUGGGCAACUACCACUCGGGGCCGGAAAGUUAUCCAAACUCGGUCAUUUAGAGGAAGUAAAA
Molecule: ribosomal RNA, 2417 nt
Filed under: Lanspora coronata
Lineage: Eukaryota; Fungi; Ascomycota; Sordariomycetes; Phomatosporaceae
Description: SSU rRNA
Rfam family: Eukaryotic small subunit ribosomal RNA
Source: RNAcentral